UCGGAUUCGUUAACCACUGCGCCACAACGGGAACUCCUGAACACUGUCUUUCCAAAAGGGAUUCAACAGCCUGGGUUUUACCAUUUUCAAAUCUCUCCUCAGCCUGGACCGAGUAUAAACCCUGAGAUCACCUGCCAUCAUCACCCCUCUGCUCAGCACUGUGGACCCCAGUCAGCAAAACUCCCAGCAAAACUGCUCUGCUCCAAACAGUUUUCUGAACAUUCCACAAUUUCAGGUGGGUUUGGUGCCUGUGUCUUCCAUGGGAGCCUUGCAGCCUGGGGCACUGUGUCCUGGUAGGACCAGCAAGUGCCUGGCUACUCUGAACAAAAUAUCACUUAAUAAGACCCCUGUUUACCUCGCCUUGUAACAGCGAUCUACAGACGGACACCCACAGGUCCAACUCCAGGUUCGGCCCUCGCUAAGCCUGCCUUCCCAUAUUCUCGCUCUGCUUUUUCUAUGACUUUAGGUUUGCCUGCCUCAGUUAACUCUGAUCUCCAUGAGGACAGAAUCUGUCUUGAAGUCUUUGACCCCCGGGCGCUAGCCUUCAGCACUUGGGACGGCUUCUCAUCAUCACCACGAUUGUGUAAGGGAGCAGCCAUCACUGCUGGAGUUUGAAGGGACCGAUAAGCAUACAAAGCAGAGAGACAGACAAAGUAAUGGGUCAGCCAAAAUGUGAAUGGAAGCCGAAUUGGAGAACAAGACUCCGAGGAGCAGCAACCCAGGGUCUCCGGAUGCUCUUGCCUCCAAGUUGGUCCUAGAGGAGCCCCCUCAACAGAUAUUCGGGGUCUUCAGAAUGGAUGCUGACAUCCCUCCACUUAUCCAGACAAGGUCUCACUCAUGGCAUAAACUACGAAAACGGUAGAUAGCUAUUCCCCUGUGGGGAAUGAAGGUGGGUAGCCUAUGAGUAAUGUUAAAUUAAUGUUCCUUCCACACAUUUAUUGAGGGCCUGUUAUUUCCUAGGCAGUUCUGGAUGUUUAGGAGACGCACAUAGAAUAGAGAUUCCCCAGGGAAUUGACGGCAUGGAAGAGGACGUGACCACGUCUAUCAGUCAGUGCACCGGAGACUGAAAUGUAGGUUGCAUCGGCGGCGUGAGCCAGGUGCCGGGACAGCUUGGUUGGGGCAAGGAGUUCUGAGCUGGGGAGCUGAGGGAACGUUCUUGGAGUUGGCCCUUUAGCGGAGGCUUCAACACCUCUAUCUAGUACAGGUGGCGACGUUACAGACCCAGCCUACAUGAGUGACUGAAUCCUACCCUGCCAGGCAUCCCAACAGCCUUCUUUGCGUUUCCAGGACAGACAUGUGUCUAGGAGUCAAAAGCAUUUUGUUCGAGCUGUGCGGUGUGCCACACCCAAUGCAGAGACCACUCUCCAAGGCUGAGGUGUCAUAUGCUGCUAAGGCUCAAGGCACUGAUGGCCUCUUCCUUCUGCCCCCCCCCCCGACCAGCCUUCCUGACCCCACAUUAUGUCUUAUUCUUGGCACCUGCUAUACUCAGGUUUCUUAUAGACAGAGACUGAUGGGGUUCAAGUGGACUCAGGUCCGAUUACCCAUCUGCAACAUGGAAUCUGGAAGAGGGAGAAACUGGUACAGACAGCCUGCCUUGAGAGACCAGGCCUGCCGAGGUCCGCUUGCCACAUUUGGGUAGGAAUUGCAAGAGAGGUACAAGUGUGCCUGACCUAUGAGGCCACCUCCUGGUGCACGUGGCUUAGCAAACUCCUCGAAUAUUGACCAGUUCAGUUGACCAGUUCUGCCAUGGCUGGGAAAGGUGGCACUGAGACUAACACUUGUACCCAUAAGGAGCAGAAAAGAAAUAUUCCUGUGUGUUUCAGCCUCCAUGUGUGAAACAAUAGAUGUUUGCAGACCUGCCAGUGUCCUGUAAUCAGAAGGAUGGCAAAUGGGCAGAUGGUGAGGGGGGGAUGAGCCUGGGAAUGCAGGGUUAGCUAGAGAGCAAAGUCUCUCUGAAACGUAUUAUCUUUUUUCAUUUAUAUUUCACACAUGUUACCAGUCUCUUUUUAUAAAUAAGAACACAGAGGCUCAGGAGUCCCCUUGUGGCACAGUGAGCCAAGGAUCUGGCGUUGUCACUGCUGUGGCUCAGGUAGCUGCUGUGGCACAGGUUCAGUCCCUUGCCAGGAGAACUCCAUGUGCAGCAGGCAUGGCCCAAAUAAACUGAGCUCAGAAAGGUUAAGAGAAUUAUCCCAAGUCACACAGCUUAGAAUUGUUGAAACCAGCCAUCAAGUUGUUUUUUUUCCUAGUUCUACUUUCUUUCACUCACUUGGGAUUGGCUUCAGUGCUGCAUAAUUUAAAAUGUUAUUCACAUAAGUGAGGUAGAAUUAUCACCAUUUAAUAGAUAUGAUUUUCGUCACUGCUACUCAAAAUUGAUCUAAUUUUAAAACCUUUGGAACUUUGAAGUGCUACUAUCUAAAUACACCUAAGUGUCUUAGAUACUUUGGAACUUUUAUUAUAUGCAAGUCCUCUAAAAUGUGGUAUUCUUUUGUUAAAAAAUGACUUGGGAGUCUUUAUUCAAAAUACGGAAAACCUUCAGCAUUUGAAGCUUAAAAGCAAAUUGCAAUUACUGAAAACAAAGCUUGCAAAUAGGAAGAUGUUAAAAUGCAUCCUUACAAAAACAAGGGGAGAUCUGAAAAAAUAAAAAAGAAUAGUUAGAGCUCAAAGGGGGUACUAUAUUUAACUUUCAAAUGUGAAAAUUGUUUGAUUUGAGAGAAAAAAAUCUUUUGACAUAAGUCCUAUUUUUAAUUGGAUAAGUUGAUAUUCUGUUCUGAAAUGGAAGAAGAUUGAAAAAAAGCCUAUAAUUUUGCAGCUCUAAAUUUAGCAAAAUAUUCAAACAAAAUCAAAAUAUAAUCAAUUUAUUUCAUAUAGUUUUUCUUAUAAACAUGUGUACAUUGUAGAAAAGCACUCUGCAUGGAGGCAAACUGACUAUUUCUAAAAAUACUUAUGCCAACAUUUUUACAUAUUUCAGUAUAAAAAUGGAAUGGAGCAUAUUUCUCAUUUAACUGAAUUUCCUUUAAACUUAACUGGAGUAUCUCUUUACCUAUAGCAAGAGAGUUUCCCAGUUAAAAUUAUAAUGGUCUGCUGAAAAUAAACAAUUUUUAGGAACCCAUUAUCAAGUUUAUCAUCCAUACAGUGCAUCUUUGAAAAAGAUCGGGGAUAAUUUUAUAAAAAAAAAACUGUAAGACUUAAAAACACCUUCUUCAGAAGAUAUCACUGACGCUGAAAUAAAGUCAGAUGUAUAUUUGAUUAAAGAAUGUGAAUAGCACCAAGAAAAAUGAUUUUAAAUAUUCUUACUUUUAAUAUUAGAUAAUAAAAAUGUAAAGAGAUUUUUAAUGCUUUCCUUGGAAUACAUGAACCCUUGAUAUUUUAAAUUUUUAGAAAGAUUUUUUUUGAAAAUAGUUUCAAUAUAGAAGUUUUCAUAGGUCUACAAAUAUAAUAAAGUCUUUCUUCAUAUAUAUUUAUGUAAACAUAUAAGUAUGUGUGCUACAUAUAUAUGUGGUAUUUAUAUGUACUUGUAGAUAUGUGUGUAUGCUUUUAGAAUGCCCUUUGGAAUAUUUCAGAAACUGGAAAAUAUGAAAUAUCGUCUCUUUAGGUGGGAGCUCUCAUGGCAGGCAAACCAGAUCAAACCUCCACCAUAAGUAGCAGUGUCUGGAGGUAAGUUUCCCUUGCCAGAGACAUCUCCUUAUCUCUCCUCUCUCACUAUCUCACUGUCUACCAUCUGUCAAUCGUUUAUCUUCAGUGUAUUUCUCCUUUUGGGGAAAUGACUGUAUAGUAAUGUUUAUUAUAAAAGUAGUAGAAUAAAAGUAACCAUUAGUCAAAAAAAAAAAA
RNAcentral lists this long non-coding RNA (3828 nucleotides) under Sus scrofa (pig). Its description in RNAcentral is "lncRNA (ENSSSCG00015022014.1)". The record is from RNAcentral. Lineage: Eukaryota; Metazoa; Chordata; Mammalia; Artiodactyla; Suidae.